UUGUAGGCUUGUAGCACCGUUACAAAGUCUGGAUUUCAGAAAAGCUCGAUAAUUCAAAUAUCUGCUGUUGUUAGAAAUUUCAAUAAGAAAAAAAGAAAAAGAUAAGGCUGAUUUCAAGAAAUUUCAAAUCUGAAACAUAAAACAAACACCACAUCCGACCAUUAUAUUGGCAAUAAUCGUCAAACUUUAGUCUUGUGUCAGUUUUUGAGAUCUUGCCGAAAUGGGCUGAUAUUUGGAAAACCUUGAACAUAAAAAUAGCAUAUUUUGAUCAUCUUCCUUGUAAACUUAUUCCUACCACUGCAACAAAAAUCGUCGAGAUUUUGAAAAUCUCAUGAUAUUUUAGCAUGAAAUUAAUGAAACAAUGUUAUCACAAGAUUUUCAAAACACCAGCAUUUUUCUUUAUUUUUAUUUUAUUUUUUGCAAUUUGUCAUGAAAUUAUCCAGCUGUUAAUGUAAAGAAACAUUUAAAAUUUUGAAUAAUUAAGUUUAUAACAAUAUAUUUAAAAUUUGAAGUUAUUUAUUAAUUUAUAAUAAUAUUUAAAAAUUUUGGGUCUUGUGAUAUGGGACUUACAAAUUUACUAACUUAAAUAUUAACUUAAAUUAAACCGACUAAAUUGUGGAACCCACCGUCACUAAGUUACAAUCUAAAAAUCAGAUUGGUUGCACAAUCUUAACCUCUGAUUCACGGACACUUGUGUUUUGAAAUAAGACCAUUGGAUUAUUUAUUUAUUUAUUUUUUCAUUUUUAACCGUUCAAUAAAUGUCUUGCAAACAACAUCUAGAUUUCCAGAUUUGGUGAAUAUAGUUAAGGAAUCAUGUAAGCCUGCUGCCAUGACUUUCAUACUAGAUGCAGAGGUAGUUGCAGUGGAUAGAAAGAAUGGAAGCAAGCUGAUGGCCUUCCAACAACUAUCCUCACGAGAGAGAGGGACUAAAGAUUCCUCGAUUACAAUGGAUAGCAUAAAGAUAUGUCGUCGACUGCUUUUAUCGAGCCACUUCCAGUCAUUGAUUUUGUAACUCAGCUCUCGAAUGGUGAUGUCUUAGCCAGACCAUUAUCUGAUGCUGAUCGAGUGAAGAUUAAUAAGGCUCUUAGAGGUGUGAAGGUUGAGGUUACACACCUUAAAUAUACAGAGAUAUCCCAAAUACCAAAAGCAUUAGUUAAUGCAUGCAAGAAAGUAGCCUUAACAUAGGAGGAAAAAGUGCACAAAAGAUGUUCCAAUGUCGCACAAAUAAAAAUGCAAGUUAUUCUGACCAUGCCUCGAAAACAUUCCAAAAGUAUGCAGAGCAAGCGCAUGCAAUUCCUGGAAACUAUUCUUAAGUGCAUCAACAUGGUGAUUGACACUGGCUUUGUAGUUUGUCUUUGUUAAUGCUUGUGUCAGAAUGAAGUACCCUGAAACUUCAUUUUUCUUUGGUUGGAUGGUUCACCACAAUACUUACCACAAAGAUCCUUAUGCAAAGGAGUUUGGCAUCAAAAUCAGUGGGAAACUUGCUUCGGUUGAAGCACGCAUUUUACCUACACUCUGGCUUAAUUCCCAUGACACUGGUAGAGAAAAGGAUUGCUUGCCCCAAGUGGGUCAAUGGAAUAUGAUGAACAAGGAUUUGAUCAAUUGUGCUUUAAUUUAGGCCCACAAGCACAGAAGCCUUUUGACGCCACUUGUGCUAGGAGUGGACCACACAGAGGAGUUUUUUAAUGUAUUCAAGACCAUUUUCAACUUAUUGUUGU
Molecule: long non-coding RNA, 1718 nt
Organism: Magnolia sinica
Lineage: Eukaryota; Viridiplantae; Streptophyta; Magnoliopsida; Magnoliales; Magnoliaceae
Exons: 7
Source: RefSeq, a predicted model, not a curated record